Long non-coding RNA from Silurus meridionalis, 480 nucleotides. RefSeq lists it as uncharacterized. The transcript is spliced from 3 exons. The record is from RefSeq and is a predicted model, not a curated record. NCBI's taxonomy places the organism in Eukaryota, Metazoa, Chordata, Actinopteri, Siluriformes, Siluridae.
CAUUAGUACUGCACACUCAAUUCAUCAUCAUCUUCAUCAUUCAAGUUGUACCUUCACUGAGAGGACCUUUGGCUGAUCCUGAACACUUGGCUGUUGCAAACAAGAACAGAGCAAACACCGUACUAAGACGUCUCUGUAGCAGCAGUUUUCAGGCUACUUGGACGACUUGGCUAACAAGGGUUUAAGGAGAAACUCCCAAUGUCAGUCCAAAAUCUGACAAAAAAGCAUAGAUGUGUUUGGAACAGAAAAACUCAGGAAAGAUAUCAUUAAAUCUUUAUACUCUGAUGUUUAGUUCUUUAUCAACAGGAAAGUGCUUCAGCAAGUCCUAAUUUUAUGAUGGAUUUUGUGUGCAGAUUUGCCGUGGGAGCUGCAGCUUGCAGUGGUUUAUGCCACUCAUGAUCUGGCAGCCAGCAACCCCAAAGUCGCUGUAAAGAUUUUGGAAUCAUGGUGGCAAGAGAUCACAAAGCUCAUUCCUCCAGC